This 253-nucleotide ribosomal RNA is filed under the name uncultured bacterium. RNAcentral describes it as "partial 16S ribosomal RNA". It matches the Rfam family "Bacterial small subunit ribosomal RNA", at positions 524 to 776 of the family's 1533-position model. The record is from RNAcentral.
UACGUAGGGGGCAAGCGUUGUCCGGAUUUACUGGGCGUAAAGCGCGUGUAGGCGGAAGCGCAAGUCCGGUGUGAAAGCCCCCGGCUCAACCGGGGAAGGUCGCUGGAAACUGCGCUUCUUGAGGGCGGCAGAGGGAAGUGGAAUUGCUGGUGUAGCGGUGAAAUGCGUAGAGAUCAGCAGGAACACCAGUGGCGAAGGCGCCACUCUGGGCCGUAACUGACGCUGAGGAGCGAAAGCGUGGGUAGCAAACAGG